This 490-nucleotide ribosomal RNA is filed under the name uncultured bacterium. Its description in RNAcentral is "partial 16S ribosomal RNA". It matches the Rfam family "Bacterial small subunit ribosomal RNA", at positions 30 to 507 of the family's 1533-position model. The record is from RNAcentral.
AUUGAACGCUGGCGGCAUGCCUUACACAUGCAAGUCGAACGGCAGCAUGAUCUAGCUUGCUAGAUUGAUGGCGAGUGGCGAACGGGUGAGUAAUACAUCGGAACGUGCCCUGUAGUGGGGGAUAACUAGUCGAAAGAUUAGCUAAUACCGCAUACGACCUGAGGGUGAAAGUGGGGGACCGCAAGGCCUCAUGCUAUAGGAGCGGCCGAUGUCUGAUUAGCUAGUUGGUGAGGUAAAGGCUCACCAAGGCGACGAUCAGUAGCUGGUCUGAGAGGACGAUCAGCCACACUGGGACUGAGACACGGCCCAGACUCCUACGGGAGGCAGCAGUGGGGAAUUUUGGACAAUGGGCGAAAGCCUGAUCCAGCAAUGCCGCGUGUGUGAAGAAGGCCUUUGGGUUGUAAAGCACUUUUGUCCGGAAAGAAAUGGCUCUGGUUAAUACCUGGGGUCGAUGACGGUACCGGAAGAAUAAGGACCGGCUAACUACGUG